AUUGAACGCUGGCGGCAUGCCUUACACAUGCAAGUCGAACGGCAGCACGGGUGCUUGCACCUGGUGGCGAGUGGCGAACGGGUGAGUAAUACAUCGGAACGUACCUUAUCGUGGGGGAUAACGCAGCGAAAGCUGUGCUAAUACCGCAUACGCCCUGAGGGGGAAAGCGGGGGAUCGAAAGACCUCGCGCGAUUAGAGCGGCCGAUGCCUGAUUAGCUUGUUGGUGGGGUAAAAGCCCACCAAGGCGACGAUCAGUAGCUGGUCUGAGAGGACGAUCCGCCACCCUGGGACUGAGACACGGCCCAGACUCCUACGGGAGGCAGCAGUGGGGAAUUUUGGACAAUGGGGGCAACCCUGAUCCAGCAAUGCCGCGUGAGUGAAGAAGGCCUUCGGGUUGUAAAGCUCUUUUGUCAGGGAAGAAACACCGGCUCUAACACAGUCCGGGAAUGACGGUACCUGAAGAAUAAGCACCGGCUAACUACGUGCCAGCCGCCGCGGUAA
This 501-nucleotide ribosomal RNA is filed under the name uncultured bacterium. RNAcentral's name for it is "partial 16S ribosomal RNA". It matches the Rfam family "Bacterial small subunit ribosomal RNA", at positions 29 to 523 of the family's 1533-position model. The record is from RNAcentral.